UGGCUCAGAUUGAGCGCGGGCGGCAUGGCUAAAGCAUGCAAGUCGAACGCGAAAGUUCUUCGGGAGCGAGUAGAGUGGCGAACGGGCGAGGAAUGCGUGUCUAACGUACCCCAAGGUCGAGGAUAGCUCGGGGAAACCCGGGGUAAUACUCGAUGACCCCGGCGGAUCGCAUGGUCUGCCGGGCAAAGGUUUACUGCCUUGGGAUCGGGGCACGUCCUAUCAGGUUGUUGGUGAGGUAACGGCUCACCAAGCCAAAGACGGGUAGCGGGUGUGAGAGCAUGACCCGCCGCAUCGGGACUGAGACACUGCCCGGACUCCUACGGGAGGCUGCAGUAACGAAUCUUCCGCAAUGCGCGAAAGCGUGACGGAGCAAUGCCGCGUGCGGGAUGAAGCUCUUCGGAGUGUAAACCGCUGUCAGGGGCUAGCAAUUUUGAGCGACCCCAAAGGAAGAGCCGGCUAACUCUGUGCCAGCAGCCGCGGUAAUACAGAGGGCUCGAGCGUUAAUCGGAAUCACUGGGCUUAAAGCGUGCGUAGGCGGACUUGAAAGUAUCAUGUGAAAUCCCACGGCUCAACCGUGGAACUGCAUGGUAAACUUCAAGUCUUGAGGUCGGUAGAGGUUGUCGGAACUCUAGGUGGAGCGGUGAAAUGCGUAGAUAUCUAGAGGAACGCCUAUGGUGAAGACAGGCAACUGGGCCGAUCCUGACGCUGAGGCACGAAAGCGUGGGUAGCGAACGGGAUUAGAUACCCCGGUAGUCCACGCCGUAAACGAUGUGUACUAGAUUGUGGAGGUUCUGACACCAUCACAGUCGAAGCAAAAGCAAUAAGUACACCGCCUGGGGAGUACGGUCGCAAGAUUAAAACUCAAAGGAAUUGACGGGGGCUCACACAAGCGGUGGAGCAUGUGGCUUAAUUCGAGUCAACGCGAAGAACCUUAUCCUGGGUUUGACAUGUAUGAAUUAGCUUUUGGAAACAUAAGCCACACUCUUUGCGUGGAACAUACACAGGUGCUGCAUGGCUGUCGUCAGCUCGUGCCGUGAGGUGUUAGGUUAAGUCCUUUAACGAGCGAAACCCCUGCCGUUAGUUGCUAACAGGUAAUGCUGAGGACUCUAGCGGGACUGCCGGUGUCAAACCGGAGGAAGGUGGGGAUGACGUCAAGUCCUCAUGGCCUUUAUGUCCAGGGCUGCACACGUGCUACAAUGGCGUAUACAGAGCGACGCGAGACCGCAAGGUGGAGCAAAUCGCAAAAAGUACGCCCCAGUUCGGAUUGGGGUCUGCAACUCGACCCCAUGAAGUUGGAAUCGCUAGUAAUCGCGUAUCAGCUACGACGCGGUGAAUACGUUCCUGAGCCUUGUACAACCGCCCGUCAAGUCAUGGAAGCCGGGAGCACCCGAAGCCGCCGCAUUUCAGUGGU
RNAcentral lists this ribosomal RNA (1411 nucleotides) under uncultured prokaryote. RNAcentral's name for it is "partial 16S ribosomal RNA". It matches the Rfam family "Bacterial small subunit ribosomal RNA". The record is from RNAcentral.